This 249-nucleotide ribosomal RNA is filed under the name uncultured bacterium. RNAcentral's name for it is "partial 16S ribosomal RNA". It matches the Rfam family "Bacterial small subunit ribosomal RNA", at positions 796 to 1041 of the family's 1533-position model. The record is from RNAcentral.
CACGCCGUAAACGAUGGGUGCUAGGUGUCGCGGGCUUUGACCCCCGCGGUGCCGCAGCUAACGCAUUAAGCACCCCGCCUGGGGAGUACGGCCGCAAGGCUAAAACUCAAAGGAAUUGACGGGGGCCCGCACAAGCGGUGGAGCAUGUGGUUCAAUUCGACGCAACGCGCAGAACCUUACCUGGGCUAGAAAAUGCAGGAGCCUGGCCGAAAGGCCGGGGUGCUCUUCGGAGAACCUGUAGUUAGGUGC